CACAUAGUCUCCCUCAUUUUUUCCACGGAUCGCUUCAUCCUGCCAAGGACAGUUUACUACUCCCGUCCUUAAGAUAAGAACAUGGACAAAGAUUAACCUACUGCAAGUGUGUUUUUCCCCACCCUCCUGUCUGAUGAAGAAUGGACAAAAAUCAAGCACAUGAACCAAGCAUAUGUCAGUUCUAUGGGCUUGUAGACGCCGCGAGAUGAACAUGCAAGACGUCAUAAAGAAGUGAAGGACGAACUUCCCCGGAG
This is a long non-coding RNA of Gekko japonicus, 254 nucleotides long. RefSeq lists it as uncharacterized. The record is from RefSeq and is a predicted model, not a curated record. NCBI's taxonomy places the organism in Eukaryota, Metazoa, Chordata, Lepidosauria, Squamata, Gekkonidae. The transcript is spliced from 3 exons.